This is a long non-coding RNA of Mauremys mutica (yellowpond turtle), 1527 nucleotides long. RefSeq lists it as uncharacterized. The record is from RefSeq and is a predicted model, not a curated record. Lineage: Eukaryota; Metazoa; Chordata; Testudines; Geoemydidae. The transcript is spliced from 5 exons.
GGACCGUCUCCCAAGACGGACCCCUGCGGCUCCGUGUGCCGCCCCCCCCCGCCCCCGCCUCAGACAUGCUCCCUCUCUGUGUGCCCCCAGGACAGCCCCCACUCCGUGUGCGCCAUUGCAUGGCCCCCCCAGACAGAUCCCCCCACUCUGUGGGCCCCCCUUAGGCCUCUCAGGACAGCUCCCCAGCGCUGUGUACACCUCCAUGGCCCUCCGAGACUCCAUAUGUCCCCCCUGCCCGGGACAGAUGUGCCCCCCCCGGAUACGUAUGCUUCCCCCCUGCAUGUCCCCGGCCUGGGACAGCCUUUACAUUCUGUGUGCCCCCCUCACUCCUCCUGGGACAACCCCCCCUCUCUGUGUGCCCCCCUCCAUAGUCCCCCAGGACAUCCCCCCUGCCUCCAGUGCCCUCCCGCACAGCCCCCCGGAACAGGCCCCCCCAGCUCUGUGUGCCCCCCUGCCUGGGACAGACCCCAUCACCUCCUCCUCCCCUCCCACCACUGCACAGCCCCCCAAGACAUACCCCUUUGACUUCAUACUCCCCCCCCCCCCGCCCGGGACAGACCCUUGCUCUGUGUGCUCCCCCAGCCCUGCCCUGCCAGGAUAGCCCCCCUGUGCUCCAUGUGCCCCCCACUGGACAGCCCCCCCACGGCACCAGCACCCUUGCUCCAUGUGCCCACAAACAGGGAUCAGGCCGCCCCAGCCUGUGUGCCCCUCAACAGGGAUCGGUCUCCCCUGCUAAGUGUUUCUCCCCCAACAGGGACCAGCCCCUAGGGUGACCACCUUUGUCGGACGGAAAUAAGGGAAAACCAUAUGAAAGGAUGGGACCCAGGUAAGAGGAUGGAGGAUCAAUGGACCACUACCAUGUCCUGCAGCUCUGAGGACUCUCACAAUGACAGAACAGCUCUGGACUGCAUCCAGGGUGCUUGGUCUCCAUGUGGCGAAGCAGUUUUGAAGGUUUCAUGGCUUCGUUGGAUAGCCGGUCACCACAUAUUAUACAAAGCGGGCAUGGAGAAUACUCCUCAGAUGUGAGGUGCAGAGGAAGAAGAGAAGGGGCCCAAGGACAGAACCCUGUGGAAGGUGCAAUUAGAGAGGUCAGGGGAGAGAGUCUUAGAAGCCAAGGGAGGACAAGAUAUCAUGAUCAACAGUUCCCAAGGUAGCUGACAAGUUGAGGAGGAUGAGAACGGAGUAGGGUUUGCUUCAGCUUCUGAUACUCGAAUGAAGGUGGAUGCGUCUCCAAAGCCCUCAUCGGUGUCCUUCAGGACUGACAAUUUUCCUGAUCAUAAAACAAAGGCUCUCCACCUCAGGCUGUCAGUUGGCUCUUUGGUGCACAUUCUCCUUCUUUGGACUGGCUGUGGUCUGAAAGUGACAUCAGCCUGCUGACUGGCCGCUGAGCUUUGGAGCUAAGGCUGCCUUGUGCGUCAGGUAAUCCAAUUGAGUUCUUACAUGCCCACUGCCCCACAGAUUCCCAUUCAGCCAGCUGCUAAAAGCUGACUGCUUCAACUGGAGGGUGAACUGUCCCACCCCCCACCC